AUUGAACGCUGGCGGCAUGCCUUACACAUGCAAGUCGAACGGCAGCACGGGUGCUUGCACCUGGUGGCGAGUGGCGAACGGGUGAGAAAUACAUCGGAACAUGUCCUGUAGUGGGGGAUAGCCCGGCGAAAGCCGGAUUAAUACCGCAUACGAUCUACGGAUGAAAGCGGGGGACCUUCGGGCCUCGCGCUAUAGGGUUGGCCGAUGGCUGAUUAGCUAGUUGGUGGGGUAAAGGCCUACCAAGGCGACGAUCAGUAGCUGGUCUGAGAGGACGACCAGCCACACUGGGACUGAGACACGGCCCAGACUCCUGCGGGAGGCAGCAGUGGGGAAUUUUGGACAAUGGGCGAAAGCCUGAUCCAGCAAUGCCGCGUGUGUGAAGAAGGCCUUCGGGUUGUAAAGCACUUUUGUCCGGAAAGAAAUCCUUGGCCCUAAUACGGUCGGGGGAUGACGGUACCGGAAGAAUAAGCACCGGCUAACUACGUG
RNAcentral lists this ribosomal RNA (486 nucleotides) under uncultured bacterium. RNAcentral describes it as "partial 16S ribosomal RNA". It matches the Rfam family "Bacterial small subunit ribosomal RNA", at positions 30 to 507 of the family's 1533-position model. The record is from RNAcentral.